AAACCGAUUUCAGCAAACUUCAGAGAGGCGUCCUGCGAAAGGUUAACCUAGGGGAGAGAUGGGUAAGAACUAAUACUCCCACUAGCAGCAGCAGCUCCGUGAGCAGCUGCCUUCUGUAUUCCUGCAGGUGCAUUUCCAGCCCGAUCGUACAUCGCUAGGUUCUCAGGCUUUGUUGUUUUCUUCUGAAGCCCAAAAAGCUUCUCUACCCUGCCACCUCUCCCUGCUCACAAACACUUAACACACACACACACACACACACACACACACACACACACACACACACACGCAAACCCACAAGCUCCUCCCAUCUGAACUACAACAUCCUCUCCUGGGUGCAAGGCUCUCCUACUGCUGUCAGGCACGAAUGAGUAAGAGCCCUCUGGAAAGGUUCGGUUUCUUAAACUCCGGUGGGGACGUGGCGGGGAGGAGUAACAACAAAACUCCAGAGGCAUUUAUGGAAUUAUACGGCACCAUUUUUGGCUAUGGGCUGUUUUCUUGGACCGCUCAGCACGUGGACACGAAUCAAACGCACUCUCUGUGAGGUUUUAUAUUUUAAGAUACGCUUCCUGAAACAGCUUGCUGGCUGCUAAGUACUGUAUUCUAGAAAAAUAGGAUUUUUUUUCCGAAAAGAGCCCUUCGUGUAUGUAACAGGCUAGUUUCUGCAGGAAACACUUUUCCAACCAAGUCUAGCUUAUGUUUUGCCUGCAACAAAAAAAAAGUGCACCGUUAUGCUUUUGUUACAGUUUAGAAUAUCCAAGCUUUGUAUCCGCACGGAGAUAACAUGCUACGUUUAUAUAUUAAAAGGAAGAAGCCUCUAUCUAAGUUGUUUUAGUUUGUGUUUUUUUCUUGUGAGAACCCUUGCAAUAAAGAGUUUGACAGUGUUUUUUCCUCUCUAAAA
Molecule: long non-coding RNA, 898 nt
Filed under: Struthio camelus australis
Lineage: Eukaryota; Metazoa; Chordata; Aves; Struthioniformes; Struthionidae
Description: lncRNA (ENSSCUG00000006946.1)
Source: RNAcentral